Molecule: ribosomal RNA, 503 nt
Filed under: uncultured bacterium
Lineage: Bacteria
Description: partial 16S ribosomal RNA
Rfam family: Bacterial small subunit ribosomal RNA
Source: RNAcentral
AUUGAACGCUGGCGGCAGGCUUAACACAUGCAAGUCGAGCGGGGUGAUGGUGCUUGCACUAUCACUUAGCGGCGGACGGGUGAGUAAUGCUUAGGAAUCUGCCUAUUAGUGGGGGACAACAUCUCGAAAGGGAUGCUAAUACCGCAUACGUCCUACGGGAGAAAGCAGGGGAUCACUUGUGACCUUGCGCUAAUAGAUGAGCCUAAGUCGGAUUAGCUAGUUGGUGGGGUAAAGGCCUACCAAGGCGACGAUCUGUAGCGGGUCUGAGAGGAUGUUCCGCCACACUGGGACUGAGACACGGCCCAGACUCCUACGUGAGGCAGCAGUGGGGAAUAUUGGACAAUGGGGGGAACCCUGAUCCAGCCAUGGCGGGUGUGUGAAGAAGGCCUUAUGGUUGUAAAGCACUUUAAGCGAGGAGGAGGCUCUUUUGGUUAAUACCCAAGAUGAGUGGACGUUACUCGCAGAAUAAGCACCGGCUAACUCUGUGCCAGCCGCCGCCGUAA